RNAcentral lists this unclassified non-coding RNA (303 nucleotides) under air metagenome. Its description in RNAcentral is "partial contains small subunit ribosomal RNA, internal transcribed spacer 1, and 5.8S ribosomal RNA". The stretch from base 1 to 46 matches the Rfam family "Eukaryotic small subunit ribosomal RNA", at positions 1786 to 1831 of the family's 1831-position model. The record is from RNAcentral.
AAGUCGUAACAAGGUUUCCGUAGGUGAACCUGCGGAAGGAUCAUUAUUGAAUAAACUUGAUCAGGUUGUUGCUGGCUCCCCUGAGCAUGUGCACACUUGUCAUCUUUACUUUUCCCCCAAUGUGCACAUAUUGUAGGCCUGGAACUCUUUUGAUUAUCUCGUAUAGAUUGAGGACUGCUGUGCUUCAGCCAGCUUUUCCUUGUGUUUUCAGGUCUAUGUUUACCUUCACAACCUCUGAAUAUGUUUAGAAUGUUGGAAUAUAAUAUAUAUAUACAACUUUCAGCAACGGAUCUCUUGGCUCUC